UGCAUGGUUGUCGUCAGCUCUUGUCGUGAGAUGUUGGGUUAAGUCCCGCAACGAGCGCAACCCUUGAUCUUAGUUGCCAGCAUUCAGUUGGGCACUCUAAGGUGACUUCCGGUGACAAACCGGAGGAAGGUGGGGAUGACGUCAAAUCAUCAUUCCCCUUAUGACCUGGGCUACACACGUGCUACAAUGGACAGAACAAAGGGCAGCGAAACCGCGAGGUUAAGCCAAUCCCACAAAUCUGUUCUCAGUUCGGAUCGCAGUGUGCAACUCGACUGCGUGAAGCUGGAAUCGCUAGUAAUCGCGGAUCAGCAUGCCGCGGUGAAUACGUUCCCGGGCCUUGUACACACCGCCCGUCACACCACGAGAGUUUGUAACACCCGAAGUCGGUGAGGUAACCUUUUAGGAGCCAGCCGCCGAAGGUGGGACAGAUGAUGGGGUG
Molecule: ribosomal RNA, 439 nt
Filed under: Bacillus subtilis
Lineage: Bacteria; Bacillati; Bacillota; Bacilli; Caryophanales; Bacillaceae
Description: bacterial SSU rRNA
Rfam family: Bacterial small subunit ribosomal RNA
Source: RNAcentral